CUGUAUUUAAAAAAAAAAAAAAGGCCUGGGGAUGUAGCUCAGUGUGAAGGUCCUGGGUUCAAUCCCCAGGGCUGAAACAAACAUACAAACCAACAACCCCAAGAAAUUCUCGGAUAGCACUGUGCUGAGCUCACAGUAGACAAUUAAUUUAAUAAGUACCAGCUGGCCGGAACUGAGUGACACUCCGAGGCCCCGCCGGGCCGGCACACUGACGAGCCGAGUCUGGGACUCUUCCUGUCCCGGCUCCUGCUGGGAGCUGCCAUGGGCUUUUUCAGACACCAUUUCCCCGGGGCCAGCUUUACUUAACUUCCUGGCUUUGCCUUUCCACCUGUGAAGCAUGGAGCAGAGCAGUUGAUUCUGACUGCAAUGGAUGACAGAGGACAGUUGCUCCUUAGCAGGGCCACAGAGUUACCUUGGAAAGGUUUGUCUCGUCCUGGCUUAAGAGGAACUCCUGCGGAGACGGGGGAGGGACGGAGCAGCCCGGGGCCAGGGGCUGGCUGCUGGCUCAGACUGAAGUGGAAUUUGGCCUUGGGGUGAAGAAAGAGGGGUUCCCUGGGAUCUGCAAUCCUGCACUGCCAUCUACUGCCAGUCCUUGGUUAUGGCCCGAGUGACAACGCUGAAACACGCUUCAUCCAUUCUUGGUUGACUGCUCACAGGAGCCCGGAAGAAACUUAAAGGAAAAACGCUCCAAGUACAAACCACAGCCCUAUCGUGAGGAUCGCCCACCAGCCCGCACACCAGGGCUCCCACACCGGUGUCCAUCUGCAGUCCCCAGAGCAGCCGGGAGUUUGUGCCCACAGGAAGGGUGCUGUUCCUGACAGAGUCGGUGUCCACCAAGGGGUGCAGGCAGGCCGCAGGUCACUGACACCAUGCACAAGCAGAGCUUCCCUUCACCUCCUACCUGUUUCUUUUUUCGAUGUCUUUCAGCCUUUGAAUUCUUCUUCCACCUUCCCACAUCUGCCUCCUCGUCAUUUUCAGUGAACUCCUUUGUUAAAAUGCAAAGGGAACAGGGGAGAGAAUCUUAUGAGAGGAAGCGGGUAUGAUUUUCAAGUAUCAGAAUUAAAAACACCAUGUUGACCUCGGGUCUGCAUCCAUGACAUCAAAUGUGAGCGAAGGAACAGUUAGCACAAUCUAAGUGGCGUCACAUCUGCUCUUCUCAAAAUAACAAGCUCUUGAAAACCUGAACCCAAGUGAAAUAGUUGUAGACAUGAUAUUGGAGUGCCGUUGUUGCAGGUCUGCAUUUAUGGCUAUGAGAUUUAUGGGGCACUUACUAUGUUCCAGCUCUGGGGGCCUCAGGACAGAGUACAGCACACUGCCCACUCACCAUCAAAGAAAGGCAACUACCAAGGGAAGCUGUCAGGACAGACGGCGAGCCAUAGCUCAGGACAAACAUCAGACUCAUGCCCGGGAUUCCACAGCUGUCCUUUCCAGCCUCGCGGCAGGUGAGGAAAAAAUGAAAACACAGCACAUGCUAAAUCACCACGAGAAUCGUAACGCAGAGAAAAGUUUGGCAAAUCUUUUUGAAAUGGGAAAAUCGCAAAGGUCAUUUUCUUUGCACAUUAUACUUUUUAGCAUUUUAGACAAAAUAUUAGAGCUGAAAACUUGAAAGUAUCCAAGCCCUAAAGUUUUCUUGUCCUAGAGUUUUACAGAGUGGGUCAUGAGCACCUGUGGAGUCAAGGAGAAGUUGCAAGAUAAACGUGGACCCUCUCCUGGCAAACCAAAUUCAUUAGACCUCUUUUUCUAAAAUUGUUGCUUUUUCUAAAUAUGUUGCUUUUAUCCUAGAACACAAAGCCUGGAUCUUAAUGAUAUGAGAAGGUUUCAAAGAACUCGAAUGCAGGUUGUGGGGCCAGGGCCCAACUACUGCUCCGUUCCCUAGGCCACUGGGCUUAGGGAAGCCAGGAGCUUCGGUUACGGAGGAGAGAGCUGAAGUCGACUGGAGCAUGGCUUUGGUGGGGAUUUUUCCUGGUCUUUGCGAAUGCCUCUCCUUCCUCAGGGUCCACCAGAUACAGCAUUCUUAGCUUAGAGAUUCACCAACUUAAUUACUGAGAUGAUGGUAAUAUGGAGGUGUGCAGGGAUGGCUCUUUUACACAAAUCUGGUUUUGUUGGCUUAGAAUGGACUUGUGAGAAGUCUAGGUCAUUUUUUCCUUUCCAAUAAUAUUUCAUCUUUGAUCAUUAGAAAACUGACUGGUAAAACUUGCAAUAAGAUGGAAUGGGAGCUCCAUGCGGGCACUGGAUUUUGGUCACUGUGGAAUCCCCAGGGACUAGAGACACAGACAAUAUUUGUUUCAUGCAUCAGUGGGCAAAUACAGAGCUGUGUGGCUUGUAGGUACUUAGUAUCAUGGUUAAAGUUAAUCUGCAUGGUUUUCAUAAUGUGUUCCCUGAGGAGUUUGGAAGCAUUACAUUGGAAACAGUGCACUUUCUCUCUCUGGUCUUUAACCAGUGAGCCCUUAAGCCCAGGGAGAAGCAAGGAUCGAGAGGAGCAAGCAUUCUCUCUGCCAAAUUGGAGAUGGUUUUCCUUCUGUGGGCUGUGUGGGGGCUUUAGUGAGUUUGUGCACCAUGAGACAGAAAUUUCCAGUCGCUCGAGCACAGAGGGUUUUAUUAGCAAAUGUAAUCAAUGCAAUCUACAACUGUGGCCUUCCUUCUCAACUUUAUAGGAAAGCAUGGUCUUCAGGCAGAGGUGGGCCCAGGAGCGUGGUGGUGAGUGGGAGCUACUGUGUGCUGCAAUUCAGUUUCACAGCAUUUGUGGAAAAGACAGACAGAGGCGCCUAUGGGCCUGCAGCACCCCUCACCACCCACCUCCUCUUCUCCACCAUGUGCCUGAGAGGGAAGGCCUGGCAACUAAACUUGGCCUGAGGGUGCCUCCGUACUUGGAGUCUUUCCUUAAACUGCAACCUAACUUAGCACUAAGUAAUUGAAAGCCUAACUUACGAGUAUACACUGUAGCAAAUAACUGAGUCUCACAAUCACAGAAGCUCAAUCAAUCGGAGGUAGUCAAUGGAUCAGAUCACGUUCAACUAAGGCAGCACUGAACUGCAACCAAGCAAGCAUUUCCGUUAGUUCCUCACUUUCAUUUCCCAUCCUUAGAUGCUCUCGAACCUCUGCUAGUUCUGAGUGCUAUCUUACUCAUAAAGUGCCUUGGUCCAACUAAGAGCUGUUAAAUUGAAUCUAACAGUUUUUUAAAACCACAUGCAAUUCAUGCUUGUUGUUGGCCUUAAGUUUCUCAUUAAAAAAUACAUCCCAAAGGGACAUCGGAACAGCCACUUACCUCUGUAAUUAUUUUUACUUUCUCUUCCCUGGGAUUCAUUUUGUUUCCGAUGGAUCCUUAAGAAAGAAAAAUGAAGAACUCAGGCAUUUUUAAAUCAACGAAUUAUCAUUCUUCUUCCAUUAACGAAGAGGAAGC
RNAcentral lists this long non-coding RNA (3400 nucleotides) under Heterocephalus glaber (naked mole-rat). Its description in RNAcentral is "lncRNA (ENSHGLG00100050319.1)". The record is from RNAcentral. Lineage: Eukaryota; Metazoa; Chordata; Mammalia; Rodentia; Bathyergidae.